This 1663-nucleotide long non-coding RNA is filed under the name Brassica rapa (field mustard). RNAcentral describes it as "long non-coding RNA (BRAP_LNC002464)". Lineage: Eukaryota; Viridiplantae; Streptophyta; Magnoliopsida; Brassicales; Brassicaceae. The record is from RNAcentral.
CUAGUACAUAUAGCCUAACAGGCGGCCAGGGACUUAAUUUGUAAAUAAUAAAUCUUAUGGGAACUGAAAUCUUUUAGUUUGCGAUUUCAUCUGUGUGACUGCGUAUCGAUCGAUGCACAAGAAUGUAUGUCGAUCGAUAGUAAGUGAUUAAGAUCGACCGAUGUUGCUCUUCAAGUGUCGAUCGAUUUUCCUUGCGUAAAAGCAUUCCAAAAUGUCCCAAAAGUAUCAUUCCCUUCCAUCAGGUGAAUAAACCUGUAUUUGCUUUGAAAAGAUUCUAAAACAUGAUUAAUACAUCUUAAAACCUUUAUAUACCAUGUAUAAAAGCAGGUGAAAAUCAUGGUAUAUCAACUCCCCCAGACUUAUCUUUUGACGUGUCCUCAAGUUAAACCAAUAGACAAUCUCUCUGGAAGAGGGUUGAAAACAUCAAGGACUCACAGAUUUGAAAUAUUGAAGUUAUCACCUCUAUAAUAUUGCAUUCCACAUCUAAGGUUCCUUUUUACAGAUAUACAUUUUGCAAUAUCCUAGCUUAGCAACCAAAAUCAUCUAGCCAACAAUCUUAACUAAUCUUAUUAUCAAUCUCCUCAACCAACCUCAUUUCUUAAUGUAAAAAGUGUAGGCUUUACCUUAGGAGUAUCGAUCACAAGAUGCAAGGAUUUCAGACAAGUAUCUGGAGCUACAGGUAAAAGUUAGUUCCUAGUUUCUCUCUCUCUAAAUUUCUCUCUUGGGUCAAAGUCUGCUUCCUUUGCGAAAGCGAGCCUUGAAGAUUGCCGACUCCAAGUCCCGUUUCGAACUUUUUUAUUUGAGUCUUUAUGAAUCAAGCCUUAAUGGUUUUAGCCACCAAAUCCUGUUCAGACUCAUCCUAAUUAAACAAUAGAUCUUACUCUCUUUUUUUUUGUAUAUAUAUAUAUAUAUUUUUUUUUAUUUACACUCUAUAACUAAUCUAGGGUCGAAAUCUAGAGAGAGAAAAUGUGAUAAAUAAUCUAAACCAGGCGUUACCUUCCAGACUUGUCUGAAAAAUCCGAUCCCAUGUAUAUCAAGCCCCAAAACAAGCAGUGAAGUCAGGUUAGUGUUGGAGGUUAGCUUCGGUUCUUUCUAACAAGUUAGCAAGUGUGCAUAGUUGACUGGUCGAUCCACUUUAGCAUCUAUAGUUUUAUAUGCAGUCAGUAAAUCUAGAAUGGUGCUAGAAAGUGGUUAGACAUUCAAGUAGAAAUCAUUAGUUCAUAAUCCCCUUCUUGACUCAAUAAAAUAAUAUAUUUUAUUUUUUAUUUUUAUUUUAUUUUAUUUUUAUUUUAUUUUAUUUUUUUAUUUUUUUUAAAAAAGAUUUUUGACAAAAACUCGAGAAAAUGGUGUUAGUAACUACCUCCCCCAGACUUAAAUUGCACCGACUCGGUGCAAAGUGUCCAAGGGUAGGUAAAAUCAAGUCAGAUGUUUUGAGAAUGUUAGAGCAAAAAUGAAGUACAUAUCCGUACUACACAUCGAUCGAUGUAAUCCUCUCCAUAUCAAUCGAUGUUACUCGCUUAGAAUCGAUCGAUGUAAUCCUCUCCAUAUCGAUCGAUGGCGAAGCGCAGAUAUGUUCGCAUGUGCUUGGAGUCAAAAUCGAUGUUCCUUGCCUAAUGUUUAGACAAUCAAGCAUAAGAAAUAAUAAGCAUCCUCAAACAUAAAA